Molecule: non-coding RNA, 1810 nt
Organism: Nicotiana tabacum (common tobacco)
Lineage: Eukaryota; Viridiplantae; Streptophyta; Magnoliopsida; Solanales; Solanaceae
Source: RefSeq, a predicted model, not a curated record
UAAUCACAGUAUCCCUCCAAAUUUUCUCUCACCCUAAAAUCUCUCAGAUACACGUACUUUCAGCUUAAAACCCCUAGAGACGUGGCCGCUAACUAAUAGAUCCUUCAAAAUUCAGAAGGUAAAAUUCGAUCGUACCUAAAAUCCCUAGAGAUGGCGAAGCUAAAAUUCAGAAGGUAAAAAAUUAAACUCAGAAAGGUUGCAAAGAGCGAGACGACGAAGCUAAAAUCCCUAGAGACGGCCGCUAACUCCUUCAAAAUUCUGAAGGUAAAAAACUCAGAAAGGUUGCAAAGAGUGAGGCGCCACUUUGUCGUCAUCGUUGAGAGCUCUAUUCAGAACAUACUCUGUUUAAUUUCUUCUUUGGAGGCCUUAAUCUAAAGUACUUUACACAAAUUAUACUAUUGGAUUAUCCGCCUAAACAAGAUUGCAUUCCGGUCAAAGGGUUUCCUUGGAAACAAGCCUGCUGAACUUUGGUAGGAUCUCAAGCUCCUUACGGUAGUGCACCACCUGUGACUUUUACUGAGAAAUGUUCAGAUGCUUUAGAUCUUCAUAACUCAAAUGAAGAUUCACCCUGCUGGAAAGGUGCUCCUACUUUUCGUAUUUCUCUUUGGGACUCUGAGUAUGAUCCCUGUUCCUGCAAAAAGAAAAAAACCAGGAUCAAUUUGAGAGUGUUGACAUGGAUAUCCAUCGCGAUCAUAUUUUGGGAUGGAUGAAAGAGUUAUGGAACAAAUGGAGAGGACAAUUGCAUGCAAAAUAUGUGAAGGGUAAGCCAAUCCAAGAGGCUCUUAAGAAUGUGCCCAAGGGGGUAGACAAGAAACAAUGUGAGUGAUUGGUAAAGGAACAUUUUUCUACAGAAAGUUUUCAGGUUUGACAUAAUAACUAAUUAUGUAAUUUUAUUUUAUACCGUGAUCUUUUAAUUGAUAAUUUAUUUGUAGCAUUUGAAUUUAAUGUUGUCACUCAAAUAUAGGCGAGAAGUAACAGGAAUGCAGCAAAUAGAACUAAGUUGAAGAUGCUUCAUCAUAUUGGUAGCAAGCCAAUUAGAGAGAUUAUUUAUCAAAAGGUGUUUUCAUCAAAUCUAUUUUUGCUUAAUAUUGACGAGACGUUAUUUGACAUAUUUACUUUUAUGUAAAGGGCGGAAAAGAUGGCAAACCACCAGAUUUGGCAGCUAUUUUUUUCAAGACUCGCAAGAAGAAUAACACGCUUGUUGAUCCUGAAACAAUCGAGAAACAUGCUCAAAUCCAGGAAUUGGUGCAGUCUGAACCGUUACUUCCUAACAUAGAGAUUGUAGAGAAAUGCUUUGGACCUCAAAGUCGUAGUCAUGUAUUUGGCUUUGGGGGUGGAUUAAAGGCAAAAGAUUUGAAAGGUGGAACUGCCUCAAAAACUGAAUUAUUGGCUAAGAUACGUUCAACUGAAGAUGAAAACCAGUCUUUGAAGGAUCGUUUGUCUAACUUGGAAAUUGAGAUGAGAGAACUGAGGCAAGUAAAAGAAUUAGUAUUAGCGCAACAAACUAAUUUCCAGCCUCCACUUCAAGAGAAUGACUAUUUGGAUCCUUAAUGAUACCAAGUUUUGGAUAUUGAAGUUUACUAGAAGUAGAUUUUUGACGACAUACAGAUUAGCCAUCAUUUUGCUGGGAAUUUCAAGAAAAUUUUACAUUACAAUCGAGGGAUAUUAGUGAUAUGUAAUUUUUUGCUAAAUGUUUAUGAACACUAUUGUGACUAGCUUACAUCAUUGAUGUACGGUGCAACUAACUGAUGUUGAUUAUUUUUGGUAUUAUUUUAUGAAAGCAACAUCAUCUAUAUAUUAAUAUUCCCGA